Molecule: non-coding RNA, 208 nt
Organism: Pelobates cultripes (western spadefoot toad)
Lineage: Eukaryota; Metazoa; Chordata; Amphibia; Anura; Pelobatidae
Source: the annotation of a GenBank genome assembly
CCUGGAGUCAUGACCCUCUGUAUUCUCUGGGGGCUUCAUCCCAGCAGUUCUGUCGCUCCCACCUUCUCCACUAUCUUACUGGAUGCCUGAGCAUAAUUCACCCUCUACUCAAUGCCCACAGAUUCCCGCUCCAGAAGUUUAACUACUUCUUUCGUAGUUACAUUAUCCGGCCACCUACUGCCUGAACCACAGGUUCCCUGACACAAAU